CCUGCGCUGCUUUCAAAUCUACGAACCAGCUACGCUUACGAUUGCGACGACAGACCGAGAGAGUAAAAUGAAGCAGAGUUUCAUCGGGAUCUUUUUGGCUCUGACCAUUGUAUUUGGUCUUGUCUGGGACGUGACUGCAGAGUUAGAAGACGCAGAUUUUUCGACUGAGGUUGAGAAAACGGAGAAAGUGGAAGAAGUGCACGUGUCCAAACGGUAAGACCAUUCUAUCUUGCACUCAACU
Lingula anatina is the source of this 241-nucleotide long non-coding RNA. The record is from RefSeq and is a predicted model, not a curated record. NCBI's taxonomy places the organism in Eukaryota, Metazoa, Brachiopoda, Lingulata, Lingulida, Lingulidae.